Glossina pallidipes is the source of this 180-nucleotide non-coding RNA. Lineage: Eukaryota; Metazoa; Arthropoda; Insecta; Diptera; Glossinidae. The record is from Rfam.
CACUCUCAGCGAUGAAUCACUCGACUCAUGGGCCGAUGAAGAACGCAGCAAACAGGGCGUCAUCGUGUGAACUGCAGGACACAUGAACAUCGACAUUUUGAACGCAUAUCGCCGUCCAUACUGUAAGGUACUUUAAUUAUAGUUUGAAGUGCUGCUUGAACUACGUAUGGUUGAGUGCUG